AUUGAACGCUGGCGGCAUGCCUUACACAUGCAAGUCGAACGGCAGCACGGGAGCAAUCCUGGUGGCGAGUGGCGAACGGGUGAGUAAUAUAUCGGAACGUGCCCAGUCGUGGGGAUAACGUAGCGAAAGCUACGCUAAUACCGCAUACUAUCUAUGGAUGAAAGCGGGGGAUCGCAAGACCUCGCGCGAUUGGAGCGGCCGAUAUCAGAUUAGGUAGUUGGUGAGGUAAAGGCUCACCAAGCCGACGAUCUGUAGCUGGUCUGAGAGGACGACCAGCCACACUGGGACUGAGACACGGCCCAGACUCCUACGGGAGGCAGCAGUGGGGAAUUUUGGACAAUGGGCGCAAGCCUGAUCCAGCAAUGCCGCGUGCAGGAUGAAGGCCUCGGUUGUAACUA
This 398-nucleotide ribosomal RNA is filed under the name uncultured bacterium. RNAcentral's name for it is "bacterial SSU rRNA". It matches the Rfam family "Bacterial small subunit ribosomal RNA", at positions 30 to 432 of the family's 1533-position model. The record is from RNAcentral.